Unclassified non-coding RNA from Pongo abelii (Sumatran orangutan), 157 nucleotides. It matches the Rfam family "Metazoan signal recognition particle RNA". From Rfam's summary of the family: The signal recognition particle (SRP) is a universally conserved ribonucleoprotein. It is involved in the co-translational targeting of proteins to membranes. The record is from Ensembl. Lineage: Eukaryota; Metazoa; Chordata; Mammalia; Primates; Hominidae.
GUCAGGCUCAGUGGCCUGAGUCUAUAGUCCCAGCUACUCAGGAGGCUGAGGCAGGAGGAUCACUUGAGCCCAGGAGUUCAGGGCUGUAGUAUGCUAUAAUCAUGCCUGUGAAUGGACUGCACUCCAGCCUGGGCAACACAGAGAGACCCUGUCUCAA